Molecule: unclassified non-coding RNA, 331 nt
Filed under: soil metagenome
Description: partial contains 5.8S ribosomal RNA, internal transcribed spacer 2, and large subunit ribosomal RNA
Rfam family: 5.8S ribosomal RNA (bases 1-120)
Source: RNAcentral
GAUGAAGAACGCAGCGAAAUGCGAUAAGUAGUGUGAAUUGCAGAAUUCAGUGAAUCAUCGAAUCUUUGAACGCACAUUGCGCCCCUUGGUAUUCCGGGGGGCAUGCCUGUUCGAGCGUCAUUAUCACCCCUCAAGCUCAGCUUGGUGUUGGGGCCGGCCCGUCACAGGGCCGCCCCUAAAAGCAGUGGCGGUGCCAUCUGGCUCUACGCGUAGUAAUACUCCUCGCGACAGAGUCCCGGUGGUCUCCUGCCAGAACCCCCCAUUUUUUAAUGAUUGACCUCGGAUCAGGUAGGGAUACCCGCUGAACUUAAGCAUAUCAAUAAGCGGAGGA